GCUGGUGUGGCGAAACUGGUAAACGCGGAGACUUCGCACGUCUCUGGGCUCACGCCCUUGCGGGUUCGAAUCCCGCCACCAGCA
Molecule: transfer RNA, 84 nt
Filed under: Gemmatimonadetes bacterium 13_1_40CM_3_66_12
Lineage: Bacteria; Pseudomonadati; Gemmatimonadota
Also listed under: 4 other names
Description: tRNA-Ala
Rfam family: tRNA
About the family: Transfer RNA (tRNA) molecules are approximately 80 nucleotides in length.
Source: RNAcentral